RNAcentral lists this transfer RNA (69 nucleotides) under Orthetrum sabina. RNAcentral describes it as "tRNA-Met". The record is from RNAcentral. Lineage: Eukaryota; Metazoa; Arthropoda; Insecta; Odonata; Libellulidae.
AAAAAGAUAAGCUAAUUAAGCUAAUAGGUUCAUACCCUUUUUAUGGUAGUAAUAAUCUCCCUCUUUUUA